CUACGGGAGGCUGCAGUGAGGAAUAUUGCACAAUGGGGGGAACCCUGAUGCAGCAACGCCGCGUGGAGGAUGACGCAUUUCGGUGUGUAAACUCCUUUUAUAUGUCAAGAAAAUGACGGUAGCAUAUGAAUAAGCACCGGCUAACUCCGUGCCAGCAGCCGCGGUAAUACGGAGGGUGCAAGCGUUACUCGGAAUCACUGGGCGUAAAGGACGCGUAGGCGGGUUGGAAAGUCAGGUGCGAAAUCCUACAGCUUAACUGUAGAACUGCACUUGAAACUUCUAAUCUAGAGUAUGGGAGGGGGAGAUGGAAUUAGUGGUGUAGGGGUAAAAUCCGUAGAUAUCACUAGGAAUACCUAAAGCGAAGGCGAUCUCCUGGAACAUUAUUGACGCUAAGGCGUGAAAGCGUGGGGAGCAAACAGGAUUAGAUACCCCGGUAGUC
This 439-nucleotide ribosomal RNA is filed under the name uncultured bacterium. RNAcentral's name for it is "partial 16S ribosomal RNA". It matches the Rfam family "Bacterial small subunit ribosomal RNA", at positions 339 to 795 of the family's 1533-position model. The record is from RNAcentral.